This 474-nucleotide long non-coding RNA is filed under the name Equus caballus (horse). RNAcentral describes it as "lncRNA (ENSECAG00000048428.1)". The record is from RNAcentral. Lineage: Eukaryota; Metazoa; Chordata; Mammalia; Perissodactyla; Equidae.
AAUAACGCUAAGCAGCAUUGAUAAAUGUCUGAAUGUAUCAUGCAAUUUGCACUUGCCAUGCAAUCCUAACCUCUUUUACUUACCCUAAAUUUCAUAAUUUUCAGGCUUCUACUGAGAAUAAGGAUGGCCAGAGCUCACCAAGCUGCCUCCAGGCACCUAAGCCAGCCAUGACAAUUUAGAGAAAGAGAAAAAUAGACUUGCUCUGUUUGAUUGGGCCCUGGGAAAGUCUGAAGCACAAAGAUAAAAGUGAAAUGGUUCUAUGGAGAUUUGAUGGUGAGAAACCAGACACCUUAGGAUCCAAUACUUCAGCUUCAUCAGUGGAUCCUCCAGAAUGACCUUCUUGGUCAUCCAAAAACCAAAGCCUUUACAACUCACGGUGGAACCAAUAGCAUCUAUAAGGCAAUCUACCAUGGUAUCCCUAUGGUGGGCGUUCCUUUGUUUGUGGAUCAACACGAUAACAUUGCUCACAUGGAG